Aptenodytes forsteri (emperor penguin) is the source of this 575-nucleotide long non-coding RNA. RefSeq lists it as uncharacterized. NCBI's taxonomy places the organism in Eukaryota, Metazoa, Chordata, Aves, Sphenisciformes, Spheniscidae. The record is from RefSeq and is a predicted model, not a curated record. The transcript has 2 exons.
UCUUGAUUUUGUUCCCCAUAGGCAACGCCUUACGUGGUCCGUCAGCUGCUGCUCCCAUCCAGCUGGACUCUCUGGGCACCGCGAGGGACUGCGUCUCCGUACGGCGCCCAGCGAUACAGCUUUACUUACGGGAUGAAAUUUGGACCCAAACCUGCAGGCUGGAAGUGGUUAAAACGCGCCUAGGCCAAACGCUGCUCUUGUCGCACUGCUGUCUGUCAGUCCAGAUCUCGGCUGUUGAAUGUGAUGGGCUUAUUUCCAGGGGUGCCACUCAGGACCUGGGCGAUAGAUGAGUUGCCCGAGGCCGCGUGCUCUCGCAGGGGGUUCAGCUGGGUUCUGCAGAGGCUCGCAGCUACAUGCAGCGCCGGGCAGGAUUCGGUCCAUCAGAGCACCGCAGGAUUUAGGCGCAAGUUUACUUUUGCGUAUGGGAUCAAAGCUUAAAGUAUCAGCUGGCCUUUCUCUCGCUCCUGACUUUUCUAAAACAUCUGAACAAUUUCUUCUUUAACUGUUAAAAUCAAUCAAUCUGACGUUUAAAUUGUAUGUGAAUUUGAUAAAUAAAGACAGGUUACAAAAUGCCA